AUGAAAACAACAAAGAUUGCUUUACUGUUUUUUGGAACUUUUGGUUUAACAACUUUAGAUAUUGUUAAAAAACAUACCUUUGCUACAGAGCCAAAACAAAACUCCUCUGAUCAAGCACCAUCAAACUCGGAAGAGAGUGCAUUAAAUACAGCAAAUACAAAACAAGAUGAAAGUAAUUUGCUAAAAACAAUACUGAAAAAAAGUUCGAAUAGUGAACAAAUAAAUACACAAAAAAACGUUGUAGCAGAACCAGUAACUACGAGUAAUGUUGAUGUUAGUAAUCAAAUAAAUCAAAAACCGCCAAGUGCUGAACAUUCAGGUAACGAUGUUACAGAUGCAAACAAAAAGAAUACAAAAAAAACUAAGUCAGAUGAGAAAGCGCAUUCGACUCCAGAAACUGAAAAGAAUCAAUCAUAUACAGAAGAAAAAAAAGUAAAAGAAAAAAAAGUUGUAAUAAGAAAAUUUGAAAAAUGGAUGGCAAAAGAAAAAGAAAUUUAUUUUAACAUGUUAAUAAAAAAAUCAUUUGAAUUAGCAACAAUAAAAGUUAUGGAAAUUAGAGAAUUUUUAACUGAUUUAAAUACACGUUGGUUAAGUUUUAAAGGAAAUAUUGAUCAAAUUGUACCAAAAGAAUUUGUAGAAAACAGUCCUUCGUGGGAUCAUACACAAUGGAUGCGGUGGAUAUCCAUAGAUGGUAGUCAUUUACUUAUGAGUCAGUUAGACAUGUGGUUGCAACUUGUCGAAGAGCAAUGGAAACAUCAGGCAAAUAUACAUUUAGAAAAUUGGGUAUCUGAAAAAGAAAAUAAUAUUAAUGCACAAUCUUGGCUACCAUGUACAAAAAAAAAAAGAUUAAAGCAGUUUUCGCAAUUUGUUAACGACAAUGAAAAAAAUUUAGAUGUUCAUGUAAAUAAUUUGUAUGUAUCUAUAAAAAAAAAAUUAGUAAGUGAAUUUAUAUUAUGGAAAGGCAUAUAUGUUUCUAAAUUUGUAAAUGAAAGAAUAUACAAUAAUUGGUUAAAAGAAAUACAAGAGUUAAAAAUAAAGAGUAAUUAAAUAUAUAUAUAUAUAUAUAUAUAUAUAUAUACAUGUUGUAUUUAUUUUCUUUUUUUUAUUGUAUUUGCUGCUAUUUUUAAAUGUAGUUGAUGUCUAUUUUUAUUUUUUUUUUUUUUCAUUUUUUCAUUCUGUUUUGAAUUGUAAAUUAUUGAAAAAACUUUAUUUUGUAUUAUGAGUUAAAAAAAAAAACAUAAAAUAGUUAAAAACAAAGAUAAAGCUAAACAUAGUUAAAAAGUUUCAAAAGUAA
Molecule: long non-coding RNA, 1294 nt
Organism: Piliocolobus tephrosceles (Ugandan red Colobus)
Lineage: Eukaryota; Metazoa; Chordata; Mammalia; Primates; Cercopithecidae
Source: Ensembl